CCUACGGGAGGCAGCAGUGAGGAAUAUUGGUCCAUGGACGAGAGUCUGAACCAGCCAAGUAGCGUGAAGGCUGACUGCCCUAUGGGUUGUAAACUUCUUUUAUAUGGGAAUAAAAUGUUCCACGUGUGGGAUUUUGUAUGUACCAUAUGAAUAAGGAUCGGCUAACUCCGUGCCAGCAGCCGCGGUAAUACGGAGGAUCCGAGAGUUAUCCGGAUUUAUUGGGUUUAAAGGGAGCGUAGGUGGAUGGUUAAGUCAGUGGGGAAAGUUUGCGGCUCAACCGUAAAAGUGCAGUUGAAACUGGCAGUCUUGAGUACAGUAGAGGUGGGCGGAAUUCGUGGUGUAGCGGUGAAAUGCUUAGAUAUCACGAAGAACGCCGAUUGCGAAGGCAGCUCACUGGACUGCAACUGACACUGAGGCUCGAAAGUGUGGGUAUCAAACAGGAGUAGAUACCCCUGUAGUC
This 460-nucleotide ribosomal RNA is filed under the name uncultured bacterium. RNAcentral's name for it is "partial 16S ribosomal RNA". It matches the Rfam family "Bacterial small subunit ribosomal RNA", at positions 338 to 795 of the family's 1533-position model. The record is from RNAcentral.